Molecule: ribosomal RNA, 496 nt
Filed under: uncultured bacterium
Lineage: Bacteria
Description: partial 16S ribosomal RNA
Rfam family: Bacterial small subunit ribosomal RNA
Source: RNAcentral
GAUGAACGCUGGCGGCGUGCCUAAUACAUGCAAGUCGAGCGAACGGACGAGAAGCUUGCUUCUCUGAUGUUAGCGGCGGACGGGUGAGUAACACGUGGAUAACCUACCUAUAAGACUGGGACAACUUCGGGAAACCGGAGCUAAUACCGGAUAAUAUUUUGAACCGCAUGGUUCAAAAGUGAAAGACGGUCUUGCUGUCACUUAUAGACGUAUCCGCGCUGCAUUAGCUAGUUGGUAAGGUAACGGCUUACCAAGGCAACGAUGCAUAGCCGAGCUGAGAGGGUGAUCGGCCACACAGGGACUGAGACACGGUCCAGGCUCCUACGGGAGGCAGCAGUAGGGAAUCUUCCGCAAUGGGCGAAAGCCUGACGGAGGAACGCCGCGUGAGUGAUGAAGGGCUGCGGGUCGUAAAACGCUGUUAUUAGGGAAGAACAUAUGUGUAAGUAACUGUGCAAAUCUUGACGGUACCGAAGCAGAAAGCCACGGCUAACUACGG